This 500-nucleotide ribosomal RNA is filed under the name uncultured bacterium. RNAcentral describes it as "partial 16S ribosomal RNA". It matches the Rfam family "Bacterial small subunit ribosomal RNA", at positions 30 to 523 of the family's 1533-position model. The record is from RNAcentral.
AUUGAACGCUGGCGGAAUGCUUUACACAUGCAAGUCGAACGGCAGCACGGACUUCGGUCUGGUGGCGAGUGGCGAACGGGUGAGUAAUGUAUCGGAACGUGCCCAGUCGUGGGGGAUAACGUAGUGAAAAUUACGCUAAUACCGCAUACGAUCUAUGGAUGAAAGCGGGGGAUCGCAAGACCUCGCGCGAUUGGAGCGGCCGAUGGCAGAUUAGGUAGUUGGUAGGGUAAAGGCCUACCAAGCCGACGAUCUGUAGCUGGUCUGAGAGGAUGAUCAGCCACACUGGGACUGAGACACGGCCCAGACUCCUACGGGAGGCAGCAGUGGGGAAUUUUGGACAAUGGACGCAAGUCUGAUCCAGCCAUUCCGCGUGCAGGAUGAAGGCCCUCGGGUUGUAAACUGCUUUUGUACAGAACGAAAAGGUUUCUACUAAUACUAGGAGCUCAUGACGGUACUGUAAGAAUAAGCACCGGCUAACUACGUGCCAGCCGCCGCAGUAA